GACGAACGCUGGCGGCGUGCCUAACACAUGCAAGUCGAGCGGGGUUGAAGCGAGGGGUAACUCGGACUUCUACCUAGCGGCGGACGGGUGAGUAACGCGUGGGCAACCUGCCUCAAGGUUUGGGAUAACAGCUCGAAAGGGCUGCUAAUACCGGAUAUGCCUAUGGCCUCGCAUGGGGCUAUGAGCAAAGGGGAAACCCGCCUUGAGAUGGGCCCGCGUCCCAUCAGCUAGUUGGUGAGGUGAAGGCUCACCAAGGCGACGACGGGUAGCCGGCCUGAGAGGGUGACCGGCCACACUGGGACUGAGACACGGCCCAGACUCCUACGGGGGCAGCAGUGGGGGAUCUUGCACAAUGGGCGAAAGCCUGAUGCAGCGACGCCGCGUGAGCGAAGAAGGCCUUCGGGUUGUAAAGCUCUGUCUGGAGGGACGAAACAAAUAGACGGUAACUCCGGAGGAAGCCAACGGCUAACUAACGUGCCCAGCAGCCGCGGUAAAAGUCAACGUGUAA
Molecule: ribosomal RNA, 508 nt
Filed under: uncultured bacterium
Lineage: Bacteria
Description: bacterial SSU rRNA
Rfam family: Bacterial small subunit ribosomal RNA
Source: RNAcentral